GACGAACGCUGGCGGCGUGCUUAACACAUGCAAGUCGAACGGCAAGGCACUGCUUUUGUGGUGUGCUCGAGUGGCGAACGGGUGAGUAAGACGUGAGUAACCUGCCCUAGACUUUGGGAUAACUUAAGGAAACUGGGGCUAAUACCGGAUAGGAGCUCCUGUUGCAUGGUGGGGGUUGGAAAUUUUCGGCGGUUGGGGAUGGACGGGCGGCUUAUCAGCUUGUUGGUGGGGUAGGGGCUUACCAAGGGUUUGACGGGUAGCCGGCAUGAGAGGGUGACCGGCCACAUUGGGACUAAGGGACGGAGCAGACUCCUACGUGAGGCAACAGGGGCGAAUAUGGCACAGUGGGCGGAAGCCUGAUGCAGCAACGCCGCGUGCGUGAUGACGUUCUGUGGGUUGUAAACCGCUUUCGCCUGUGACGAAGCGGUAGUGACGGUAAUGGGUAAAGAAGCACCGGCUAACUACGUG
This 468-nucleotide ribosomal RNA is filed under the name uncultured bacterium. Its description in RNAcentral is "partial 16S ribosomal RNA". It matches the Rfam family "Bacterial small subunit ribosomal RNA", at positions 28 to 507 of the family's 1533-position model. The record is from RNAcentral.